CACCAGGGCAUAGCAGGGCCGAUCAUCUCACUUCAGAGAGAGGGGAAGGGGCUGCUCAGUGAGCCCCCACAGGGCUCUGCAUCUCCAGCUGGGCCUGGCUGGGGGUCCCAGGGUCCCUGAAGGCCCCUGCCACUGGUCUGGUCUGUCUCUGUCCUGGCGUCCAG
MicroRNA precursor from Chlorocebus sabaeus (green monkey), 164 nucleotides. The record is from Ensembl. Lineage: Eukaryota; Metazoa; Chordata; Mammalia; Primates; Cercopithecidae.